UGGGGAAUAUUGCACAAUGGGGGAAACCCUGAUGCAGCGACGCCGCGUGAGCGAAGAAGGUUUUCGAAUCGUAAAGCUCUGUCCUAUGAGAAGAUAAUGACGGUAUCAUAGGAGGAAGCCCCGGCUAAAUACGUGCCAGCAGCCGCGGUAAUACGUAUGGGGCGAGCGUUGUCCGGAAUUAUUGGGCGUAAAGGGUACGUAGGCGGUCUAUUAAGUCAGGUGUGAAAGCGUGAGGCUUAACCUCAUUAAGCACUUGAAACUGAUAGACUUGAGUGAAGGAGAGGAAAGUGGAAUUCCUAGUGUAGCGGUGAAAUGCGUAGAUAUUAGGAGGAAUACCGGUGGCGAAGGCGACUUUCUGGACUUUUACUGUCGCUCAGGUACGAAAGCGUGGGGAGCAAACAGG
RNAcentral lists this ribosomal RNA (403 nucleotides) under Verrucomicrobiota bacterium. RNAcentral's name for it is "Verrucomicrobia bacterium partial 16S ribosomal RNA". It matches the Rfam family "Bacterial small subunit ribosomal RNA", at positions 355 to 776 of the family's 1533-position model. Lineage: Bacteria; Pseudomonadati; Verrucomicrobiota. The record is from RNAcentral.